UACAGAGGUCUCAAGCGUUGUUCGGAUUCAUUGGGCGUAAAGGGUGCGUAGGUGGCGGGGUAAGUCAGGUGUGAAAUUUCGGAGCUUAACUCCGAAACUGCAUUUGAUACUGCCUUGCUUGAGGACUGGAGAGGAGACUGGAAUUCACGGUGUAGCAGUGAAAUGCGUAGAUAUCGUGAGGAACACCAGUGGCGAAGGCGGUUGCCUGGGGCUUUGCUGACGCUGAUGCGCGAAAGCGUGGGGGAGCGAAUCCGG
RNAcentral lists this ribosomal RNA (255 nucleotides) under uncultured bacterium. RNAcentral describes it as "partial 16S ribosomal RNA". It matches the Rfam family "Bacterial small subunit ribosomal RNA", at positions 524 to 777 of the family's 1533-position model. The record is from RNAcentral.